CUGACCUGUAGUUUGAUUUCCAGUGUCUAGACUUAACAGUCUGAAUUUAAACACGAGGCAUAUACACAAAAUCAUCUGGAACUGAUUUUUUCACACUAAACACUUCUUUCUGAUCCUACUUUCCAGGAGGCUCCUUCCUCCAAACAUACCUCCAGAUGAAAAUCACUUAAUUAACCAAGAAAGACUCAACCGCCCUUAACUGCUUUUCUAAACAGUCACACAUACUGGAUUUACUUAUUUUGAGACAUGACAAACCAGUUGCAAACCACAAAUUCAUUCUCAUGGGCCCUCCACACGGUCUCUUGUUCCUUCUGAAGAGGGUCUUGCUGAGGACCAUUUGUCCCCCUUCCUGCAGCAGCUACUCAGUCGGUGCCGGAGAGUGUGGCCUUUCGAACUAUUUGCGGUUUUCCUGCCACAUGAUGCUGACGGACCUCAGCCUCUCCCGGCCUUGGUGCACAUACAACAGCCUGUAAAAGCUCCACUUUCUAUUCCAGAUUGCUGUUAUGCGUCUGCUUCUCAUUCAAAGGAAAUAAGAGGAGAUGUAAAUCGUCGCUGUGCAGUUACGUGUUUAAUGAAAAUGAUCUUGCAUGCUAGAUUCACGUCCAGGAGCGAGUCGCCCUUACUGCUGGUAUUGAACUCACUCUCCUUGGAGCGCCCCAAGGCUGUGGGCUGUGGGGGGGCAUUAGUGUGUGUGGGCGCAGCUAUUAUUUGUACCAGGAGGCACAAGUCUGCACAGCAACCUGAAGAUUUAGAUUUUCAAGAAACUGCAAAUCCUGACACACCUGGUGAUAAAACCCAGAUGCUCUCCCCAACUCAUACCUUGUCCCGCAACUCCCACUCCCCACUUCCUGACUAGACUUUUUAUUUUUUGGUCCAGAAGAUAGGGGUAAGAGAAGAAUGCUGAAGGGAGUGAGUGGAUGAGAGAAUGCUUGGCUUACUUGCCCAUUAGAUAGUUCCAGCUCCAAAUACUGUUCUAAUUAAGAACAAAAUAAAACCAUUCUCCCCCACUGGCUGUCUGGUAUGUAGACAAAUUUGGAAAUAGGUAAACAGUUGCUGUAUUAGAAUUGGGUAUAUUUUAGCUUGAUGACAAUAUUUACUUGAUUUUAUCACUGAAGAGAAUCACGAUCUUUGUGACAUAUACAGUCCUUCUUAUUCUUUUAGCUCUAUCUUUAUUAAACUAGAUUGUCAUCAAAUGGUGGUCACAGGUCAUUGUCAAAUUCAUUUAUAAGAUAGUUUCAAUCUGUACUUAUUUAGCAGUGCAGAGAAUUUUAGACACACUACCUUUUCACUGUUUGUAAAAAAAAAUUUGAAAAAUAAGAAUUGUAAUGUAAAAAAUAUUGGAAGACUAAUUCUUAACCUACAUGAAGAAACAGUUUUCAGCAGCUUUCUAAAUGUCUUGUUUACAUCCAAAUUGUUGAGAAGCUCGUUGCCAAUCUGUUAAUUCAUGAAAAUUCAACCUUUUAGGAUGUCCACUAAGCUGCCUUUUAUUAGCCCGGUUUGAAUGACUGUGUUCGUACUUGAGAUGAGUUGAACUGAAUUGCCUUAAAAAUUCAAAUCUGUAAUGAAUUCAUAAGGAGUUUUCAUCCCAAAGUUCAAAUUGGUAGGGCCUAGUAAUAACUUUAGACAUUUAUGUGGUGACGAGCUUUUAAUCUUCCUUAAGGUUUUUAAAACUCUGCAUGUACUGUCCUUCUUCUAUGUUCUCUUGUCCUUUUAGUUGGUUUUGGUAGAAAUUUUAUAAGGCAAAUUAAUGAAAGUUAUCUCCUGAGUGGCAGUUUACAACAAAAACAGAUGUAAAGGAGAAAAAAAUGAAAUGAAAAUUUGGAUUAAAGAAGAAAAAAGUCUCAUGUUAGUAACAGAUAUAACAAAAAGAGUGAACUCUACGUGGCUAUAAGUUCCUUGACAGCAAGGACUUUGCCUUUCUUAGGUGGAAUCUAUUGACAUGUAGAGAAGGAAUGUUUUACUUAGGAGGUUGUCAAGGAAUGUCUGUCAAGUAGGGGUAGAAGGAAGGAAUUAACAGGGCUUUGAGAACAUUCUCACAUUUGAAGUGCUAAUAAUUUCUGGUGUGAAUUUGGUGAUAACAGUGUUUCAGUAUUUAAUAUUAAUUUGAAUUUUCUGGCUGGUUAUUAACUUGAGUUACGUUUAUAGGUGAUGAAACAAACGAAGAGGAUUGCAUGUUUAUACACAGUAGAACUUGAGGGUUUUCUAAUAAGCAUACUUUAACAUUGCCUCAGCCUGUAAAUCUGGGAUUACAAGGCAGAUAAGUUUUAGGGUGAUUACUUCUUUCACCCCAUAAUUACUUCAUGGAUUUGCCGUGGUGUUUCUGUAAGUAGUGAGCAUCUCUAGUAAACUGACAUUUUGAUUCUAUUUAAACAACUCAUUUUACCCAGUUUUUCAGCAGCACAUUGACUGGAUAAAGUAAGGCGCGCAUCUGUCCUCACUUUUUUGAGUCUUGCUCCUAAGUCUUGUGAAGAAAAUAUGGGUGCACGUAUGCAUUCCUUUAUUUAGAGUAACUUCAUUGCAUGAAGUUGAGCUGAAGAACUAGGAGGAAAAUAGCUCUUUUUGUAAGUUGUGCUUUAGGAGACUUUGGAUUUAGCUAGGAAUGGGAUACUGAGAAAAACUGAGGUUUCACCUCCUCUAAACAAUGGGACAGUGUUCUCAUCUCUUUGGGACUAUAUACAUAUCUAUUUAUAUCCUGCUUUAGUCCAGAAGGAAUUUCAGCUUUGGAAAAAACCAUGCACACACACAAAGAUACAAAUAAAGUGUAAGUGAAGUAAUCAGAGUAAGAGGUUGGGGAAGGUAAGUCGAAACCAAAAGUGUAAUUAGUAUACAGAUUAUAGGCUCUGCAGACCUACACGGUCACAGGAAGACCACCACAUAUUUGGCUGUUAGCUUUUGAACAAAGCCAAUGCAAAGAGGAUAACAUGAACGAUGCACGGUUCCCAGUGUCUGUGCCAAAAUCGUCUAAGUUCAGUCCGGUCUAGAAGGCCGGGGGAUGGAGCUGACCUCAGGGGAACCCUGCUGAAGUUGUGACAUUUAUUCAGUCAAGAAGUAUUUAUUGGACAUGAACAAUUUGUCAGUGACCAUGCUAGACACUGGGGAUACGCAGUCCCACCUUUAAGGACACACAGUAUAGGGGAUAGAUCAAUAAAAUAGACUGAAAUUGCAGUGCAGUGGGAUAAAUGCCGUGGAGGGGAGUAGGCAUGAGGUAUUAGACUGGGAGACGGGGAUAUCUGGGGAAGAUUUGUGUUGGUGCCUCAGCUGACUUCUAAAGCCUACAUACUUCUUAACCCAGGCAAAAGUGGAAAUGCAUUCUAGGUAGAGGACAAGUAGCCAGAACAAAGUGACAAAGAUUUUUAUAUUGUAACGUUGUGGCCUUUUUUCCCUCCAUGAAGAAAAAUAAGAAUUCAAUCUUUGGUUUAGAAACUCUGAGAAGCACCACCUCUUGAUCAGGCAAUGCACGUCUUUGUAAUAGUGCCGGUCUAUCAAGGCAGCUCUCAUUUCAUCACUAACGAAUCAAAAGCUUCUUUCACAUCACUGUUUCUGGGUUUUUGUGUAUAUUUUGUUAGCUUUAACUUUUAAAAUUAUUUUAUUUUUGAGACAGGGUCUCACUCUGUCGCCCAGGCUGGGUGCAGUCAUGUGAUCGUGGCUCACAGCAGCCUCAGCCUCGCUCAAGCGAUCCUCCCAGUUCAGCCUCCUGAGUAGCUGGAACUACAGGCAUGCACUACCAUGACUAGCUAAUUUUUCUUUUCUUUUUUUUUUUUUAAGUAGAGAUGGCGUCUUGCUGUGUUGCCCAGGCUGGUCUUGAAUUGUGUUCAAGUGAUCCUCCCACCUCAGCCUCCCAAAGUGCUGAGAUUAUAGGCACGAGUCUCUGUGCCUGGCUUUUUCUUUUUUUCUUUUACCAUUUUAUUGGACUUGAUGUGGAUUUCCCUACCACGCAUUUGAUCCUAAAGAAACUCUAUCAGCACAUUUUUUCCAGGUGAUAUGUGUUUGCUGAAAUAGUCAUAUGCAAUAUAUUUAGUGGUCUCUGGAGUAGCUCUGUCAACACUGUCGAAUUUGAAAUUGUAACUUAAGUAUUCUGUACUGUCUUCUCUAUUUUAACUUUCAUAUUAAUGCUUAAAUGCCUACUGUUCCAACAUAAAUGGAUUUUGCUUAACAAAUACUUUUCCACCAUACAUGUUUUUUAAAAAGAUGAUUUUUGAAGAGCAAAUUUAGGUUCACAGCAUAAUUGAGAGGAAGUUUACAUGUAUUUAUGGGCUACAGAGUGAUAUUUCGAUACAUGUAUAUAAUGCAUAAUGAUCAAAUCAGGGUAAUUAGCAUAUCCAUCAGCUUGAACAUUUAUCAUUUUUGCCACACUUUUUAUCUUGUUGAUAGUGCACAAUUUUCAUGGCUUUGCCUCUUGUUAUUUCCCCUCAUGUAUGUAGGUCUGGUGAAAUCACACGUAGGGAGAACAUUUUUACAAUGCACAUUUGUGAAGGCUUAGAAACACGGUGGUUACAAACUGAGCUUUGCCACUUAAUCUCGUGUGACCUGGAUAAACGACUUCAUACCAAACUUCAUAUAGUUUCCUCAUCCAUAAACCUGUAACACUCAGGCUUAUUGGAGUAACAUAUGAAAUGGAGGUUAUCUAAGUAUUUGUUGAAUGAAUGUCCCCCUGCCCGCACUCCCUCCGUUUUUUUCUUUUUCUCCUGCUUCCUAUGAAAUAGAAAACUGGUAGGCAUUGCAGGAUGAAAUGAGGAAAGGCAGGGAGGAGAGGCAUAAAAUAUAUUCUUGCUAAUUUGCUAGUGUCUUUUUUUCCCCUCAUCAACUUUAUUGAGCAAUAAUUUUAUGCAGUUAAAUGAAUCUAUUUAAUUGGAUGAAUUUUGACAGUUUUAUAUACCCAUGAAGCCACAGUCACAAUCAAGAUAGAGAACAUUUCCAUUACUUCCAAAAUAUUUCUGUGCCACUUUUUUCUUUACUAUUUCCUUAUUGUAGUAAAAUGUAUAUAUAAUGAAAUUUUCCAUUAUGACCACUUUUAGGUAUACAAUCCAGUAGCAUUAAGUGCAUUCAUGUUGUUCUGCACCCGUUACCACUGUCCAGCUCCAGAACUCUUUUUCAUCAUCCAGAACUGAAACUUUGAACCCAUUAAAUGAUAACUCCCCAUUCCCCUUUUGCCCCAGCCUCUGGCAACCACCAUUCUACUUCCUG
RNAcentral lists this long non-coding RNA (5184 nucleotides) under Homo sapiens (human). RNAcentral describes it as "HSALNT0299583". The record is from RNAcentral. Lineage: Eukaryota; Metazoa; Chordata; Mammalia; Primates; Hominidae.